UUUAUUUCCUACUUAUAGGUGAGAAUAUGUGGUAUUUGGGUUUCUGUUCCUUCAUCAAGUUGCUUAAGAUGAUGACCUUCAGCUCCAUCCAUGUUGCUGUAAAGGACAUGAAUUCAUUCGUUUUUACAGGUUUUUUUUUCCAGAGUGGGUGUACCAGUUCACAAUCCCAAUAGAAAUGAUGUAAGAAGCAGGACACAACUCCAGAGGUGGGGCUCAGACAUGGAACCAGAUUGAGGACAAGUUAACACAGGGCCUGGUAAGAAGCAGUUUUCUAAUUAGACAUGCCCACCAAUGUGCCAUGUCAAUUUAUCAUUCCAAUGGCAACACCCAGCUUUUACCGACUCUUUACAUGGCUAUGACCCAAUGACCCAAGUUACUACCCCUUCCCUAGAAAAUUCUGCAUAAACCACGCCUUAAUCUGCAUGCAAUUAAAAGUGGGUAUAAAUAUGACUGCAAAGCUGCCCUGAGCUACGGUGGUCUGCCUACUACUGGGUAGCCAUGCUCUGCAGGAGCAGUCAUGGAGCUGUAACUCCAUCAGACUGUAACACUGCCUCUUCAAUACAACUGUUUUCUUCUACAUCUGGCUUGCCUUUGAAUUCUUUCCUGGGCAAGGCCAAGAACCCUCACAGGCUAAACUCCACUUUGGGGCUAGUUUGCCCUGUAUGAGAAAUGUUUGAGUCCAGUUCCUCUACAUCCUAACUCACAUUUGACACUGGCAUUGAUUUUUUAUGUAUUUAUCGAUUUUGUUCUGUAUUGUUUUGCCACUUGGAUAGGUGUGUAUGCCUGGUUCAUUUUGAUUACUGUAUGUAUGGUUCAUUUUGGGUUUCUCCAGUGUCUGAUGAUGUUGAACAUCUUUGCAUGUGCUUACCUGCCACUGGGACAUCUUCUUCAAUGAAAUGUAUCUUGCUGUUUUUUGCUCAUGUCAUAAUUGGGUUUUCUUUUGAGAAUUCUUUACAUAUUGUAGAUACUAUCCAUUUGUCAAAUACAUGGCUAGCAAACAUUUUCUUCCCAUAUGUAGCUUUGUUUCACUCUUUAUAGAGUGAAAUAUUUAGAUUUCAAUGAAGUCCAAUUUGUCAUUUUUCCCUUAUGGUUCAUGCUUUUGAUGUAAACAAUAAGGAUUCUGUCCAUCAUAGAUUCCAAGUAUUUGUUCUAUAUUUUUAGCUACAAGUUUCACACUUUUACAUUUUACAUUUAAUCUGUGGCUUAUUAUGAGUUAAAUUUUGUAUAAAAUGUGAGAGGUUUGAAGGUUGAGUUCUUAUUUAUUUUUUACUAGUAGCAGCAGCACAAUAAAAUAUCUGCAUGAGCUUUUGUGACUUGCCAAAACAGCCAUGCUAGAGAUUGUUUAGCACCACAAAAAGAAAAUAAUGGAAGACACAGUGGAGAAGAGGUGGAGCAAGAUGAUGGAAUGGAAAACCCCAACAAUUCUGCCCUCCACAGGAACACCAAGUUCAACAACUAUCUACACACACACACACACACACACACACACACACCCACACACACAUCUUCGUAAGAAUCAAUAAUAAAGUGAGCACUCACAGUACCUGGUUUUGACUUCAUAUUUUUCAAAGAGGCACUGGAGAGGGAAAGAAAGACAGUCUUCAACUGUCAAUGCUACCCCUUCCCCUAUCAUCCCACAGUGCCCUCAUGCUGCAGAGAAAUCUGUGCACUUGGAAGAGGGAGAGUGCAGCAAUUGUAAGACUUUGCAUUGAACUCAGUGGUGCCCGGUCACAAGGGAAAAUGAAACUGGGCAUAACUCAGCUGAUACCUGACCACAGAGAGAGCAUUCAGACCAGUCCUAGACAGAGGGGAAUUGCCCAUCCUAGUGGUCAGAACUUGAGUUCCAGCAGGUCUUGCAAAUGUGAACUGAAGUGCUCUGGGGCCAUAAAUAGACUGGAAAGGCAGUCUAGUCCACAAGGACUGCAAAUAAACUGAAAGGCAGUCUAGUCCACAAGUCCUAGAGCUGAACUAGGCUCAGAGCCAGUGGACUUGGAGGGCAUGCCAACUACUGAGAUACCAGCCAGGGCAGCUAAGGGAGUGUUUGUACCACCUCUCUCCCAGGCCCAGGUAGCUCAUGGCUCCAAAAGAGACCCCUUUCUUCCUCUUGAGGAGAUGACAGGAAAUAAUAAAGAAGACUUUGUUCUUGCAUCUUGCACACUUGUUCAGCCACAGUAGGAUAGGGCAUCAGUCAAAGUUGUGAAGCCCUAAUUCCAGGUGCUAGUUCCUGGAUGACAAUUCUAGACACACAGUAGGCCAGAAGGAAACCCACUACCUUGGAGGGAAGGACCCAGUCCUGGCAAAAACCAUCACGUGCUGACUAAAAAGCCCUUGGGACCUGAAUAAACAGCAGUGAUAAUGAGAUAGUACAACAUGGGCUUUGGGUGAGAAUCUGAGAUGGCUUCAGGUGAGACCCAGCACAUUCCCAGUUGUGAUGGCUGUGGUAAGAGACUCCUUCUUCAUAAGAAAAGCAGAGUGAAAAGUAAAGUAGACUUCAUCUUGCACCUUAGAUACCAGCUUGGCCACAGUAGAGUAGCAUACCAAGCAGACUCUUGAAUCCCCUUAUUCCAGGCCUUGGCUAUUAGAUGGCAUUUCUGGACCUUCCCUGGGCCAGAAGAGAACUUACUGCCCUGAAGGGUGAGUCCCAGGCCUGGCAGCAUUCACCAAAAGCUGACUGAAGAGGCUUUGAGCCUUAAGUGAACAUCGGUGGUAUCCUGGCAAUACUCCCUGUGGGCCUCUGGUGGUGUUGGCCAUGUGGUGAGGCUCUUUUGCCUGUGGAAAGGGGAGGGAAGAGUAGGAAGGACUGUGUUUCAUGGUUUGAGGGCCAGCUUAGUCACAGUGGAAUGAAACACCAGGUAGAUUUCUAAGGUUGUUGGCUCCAGUCCCUAGCUCCUAGAAGGCAUCUCUGGACCUGUGUGAAAUCAGAGGGAACUCACUGCCCUGAAGAAAAGCACGUAAGGCUGGCUGGCUUUGCUUCCUGAUGAUAGUAGAGCCCUAAAGCCUUGAGAAAACAUAGACAGUAGCCAGGUAAUGGCUAUAGCAGACCUUGGGGGAGAUCCAGUGUUGUGCUGGCUUUAAGUCUGACCCAGUGCAGUUUUAAGGGUGGUGAUCACAGGAGUACUUGUGUCACCCAAUCCCUAGCACCAGAUGGCUCGUCACAGAGAGAGAGUCUGUUUGUUUGGGAGAAAGUAAGGAAAGACAAUGAGAUUAUGUUUCUGGUAAUCUGGCAAUUUUUUUCGGAUCUUAUCUAAGAAUAUCAAGGUGGUACCUCUAAGGGUCUUCAAGAACCACAGCAUUACUGCAUUUGGGCUGCCCUGUUACUGUAGACAUGUCUAGAUUACAACACCCAAGUCUUUUUUAAUACCUGGAAAGCAUUCCCAAGAAGCAUGAGUACAAACAAGCCCAGACAGAAGAUAACAAUAAGUGCCCAAACACCAACAAACAUCAACAGGCAUCAAGACCAUUAAGGAAAACAUGUUAUAACCAAACAAACUAAAUAAGGCACCAAGGACGAAUCUUGGAGAAACAGAGCUAUGUGACAUUUAGACAGAGAAUUCAAUAUGGCUGUAUUGAAGAAACUCAAGGAGAGUCAAGAUAACACAGAGAAGGAAUUCAGAAUUCUAUUUGAUAAAUUUAACAAAAAGAUGGAAAUAAUAUUUAAAAAUCAAACAGAAAUUCUGGAGUUGAAAAAUGCAAUUGACAUAUUGAAUAAUGCAUACUAGUCUCUUAAUAGCAGAAUUGAUCAAG
RNAcentral lists this long non-coding RNA (3744 nucleotides) under Homo sapiens (human). Its description in RNAcentral is "non-protein coding lnc-CDH18-17:1". Lineage: Eukaryota; Metazoa; Chordata; Mammalia; Primates; Hominidae. The record is from RNAcentral.